AUUGAACGCUGGCGGCAGGCUUAACACAUGCAAGUCGAGCGGGGAAGGGUAGCUUGCUACCUAACCUAGCGGCGGACGGGUGAGUAAUGCUUAGGAAUCUGCCAUUUAGUGGGGGACAACAUUCCGAAAGGAAUGCUAAUACCGCAUACGUCCUACGGGAGAAAGCAGGGGAUCUUCGGACCUUGCGCUAAAUGAUGAGCCUAAGUCGGAUUAGCUAGUUGGUGGGGUAAAGGCCUACCAAGGCGACGAUCUGUAGCGGGUCUGAGAGGAUGAUCCGCCACACUGGGACUGAGACACGGCCCAGACUCCCACGGGAGGCAGCAGUGGGGAAUAUUGGACAAUGGGCGGAAGCCUGAUCCAGCCAUGCCGCGUGUGUGAAGAAGGCCUUAUGGUUGUAAAGCACUUUAAGCGAGGAGGAGGCUACUUAGAUUAAUACUCUAGGAUAGUGGACGUUACUCGCAGAAUAAGCACCGGCUAACUCUGUGCCAGCAGCCGCCGUAA
RNAcentral lists this ribosomal RNA (501 nucleotides) under uncultured bacterium. Its description in RNAcentral is "partial 16S ribosomal RNA". It matches the Rfam family "Bacterial small subunit ribosomal RNA", at positions 30 to 523 of the family's 1533-position model. The record is from RNAcentral.